AUUUUAGUGACUGAGUGGCGGACGGGUGAGUAACGCGUGGUAACCUGCCUUAUACGAGGGGGAUAACAGUUAGAAAUGACUGCUAAUACCGCAUAAGCGCACAGGAUUGCAUGAUCUGGUGUAGAAAACCCCGGUGGUAUAAGAUGGACCCGCGUCUGAUUAGCUGGUUGGUGAGGUAACGGCCCACCAAGGCGACGAUCAGUAGCCGACCUGAGAGGGUGACCGGCCACAUUGGGACUGAGACACGGCCCAAACUCCUACGGGAGGCAGCAGGUGGGGAAUAUUGCACAAGUGGGGGAAACCCUGAUGCAGCGACGCCGCGUGAGCGAAGAAGUAUUUCGGUAUGUAAAGCUCUAUCAGCAGGGAAGAAAAAAAUGACGGUACCUGACUAAGAAGCCCCGGCUAACUACGUG
RNAcentral lists this ribosomal RNA (413 nucleotides) under uncultured bacterium. RNAcentral's name for it is "bacterial SSU rRNA". It matches the Rfam family "Bacterial small subunit ribosomal RNA", at positions 81 to 507 of the family's 1533-position model. The record is from RNAcentral.